Wasmannia auropunctata (little fire ant) is the source of this 178-nucleotide long non-coding RNA. RefSeq lists it as uncharacterized. The transcript is spliced from 3 exons. Lineage: Eukaryota; Metazoa; Arthropoda; Insecta; Hymenoptera; Formicidae. The record is from RefSeq and is a predicted model, not a curated record.
GUCUUUGCGUCGUCGUUCACCGUCGACGCCGCUUUCAUUCUGAAGGUGCAACAGUUUCCAGUGUGUACGGUUUUUAUUGGUGGCGCAAUCGGGAAAACAAUGGAUCUACAUCGAAAGCGCUGCCAGGGUAAUCACGCGUGGAUACAUUUUCGCGUCAAGAUACCGAUAAAAAGUGACG